This 1510-nucleotide ribosomal RNA is filed under the name Candidatus Pacebacteria bacterium RIFCSPHIGHO2_01_FULL_46_16. RNAcentral describes it as "bacterial SSU rRNA". It matches the Rfam family "Bacterial small subunit ribosomal RNA". The record is from RNAcentral. RNAcentral also lists the same sequence under 2 other names. Lineage: Bacteria; Bacillati; Minisyncoccota.
UUUUUUUGAGAGUUUGAUCCUGGCUCAGGAUGAACGCUGGCGGUGUGCCUUAGGCAUGCAAGUCGAACGGUAACAGGUCUAGCUUGCUAGAUGCUGACGAGUGGCAGACGGGUGAGUAACACGUAGGAAUCUACCUAGUAGUGGGGAAUAGCUCGCCGAAAGGCGGGGUAAAACCGCAUACGUCCCGCAGCAAUGCGGGAGAAAGCAGUAAUGUGCUAUUAGAGGAGCCUGCGCGCUAUCAGCUAGUUGGUGGGGUAAUGGCCUACCAAGGCUACGACGGCUAGCCGAUGUGAGAGCAUGAUCGGUCACAAGGCUACUGAAACACGGAGCCUACACCUACGGGUGGCAGCAACCGGGAAUUUUGCGCAAUGGACGAAAGUCUGACGCAGCGACACCGCGUGUGGGAUGAAGGUCUUCGGAUCGUAAACCACUGUGGCGAGGGAGGAAUUUUGACAGUACCUCGCUAGAAAGCACCAGCUAACCACGUGCCAGAAGCUUCGGUAAUACGUGGGGUGCGAGCGUUAUCCGGAUUUACUGGGCGUAAAGGGUCCGUCGGCGACUUGAUAAGUUGCUUGUUUAAGCCUGAGGCUCAACUUCAGAUAAGCAAGCAAAACUGUCAGGAUAGAGUCUGUUCGAGGAAGUUGGAAUUCUUGGUGGAGGGGUGAAAUCCGUAGAUAUCAAGAGGAACACCACGCGCGAAAGCAUACUUCUAGGACAGUACUGACGCUCAGGGACGAAAGCUUGGGUAGCAAAGCGGAUUAGAGACCCGUGUAGUCCAAGCUGUAAACGCUCCUUGCUAGUUGCCUGAACCUUGUGUUUGGGUGGCGUAAGUUAACACGUUAAGCAAGGCGCCUGGGGAGUACGACCGCAAGGUUAAAACUCAAAGGAAUUGACGGGGGAGCGCACAACCGGUGGAGCAUGUGGUUUAAUUCGAUACAAAGCGAAAAACCUUACCCAGAUUUGACAUGUACCUGCACGGCUAUGGAAACAUAGCUUUCUUCGAGAGUGGUACACAGGUGAUGCAUGGCUGUCGUCAGCUCGUGUCGUGAGACGUCCACUUAAGUGUGGUAACGAGCGCAACCCUUGUCGUAUGUUACACGUAUCAUACGAGACUGCCUCUGCUUUGCAGGGGAGGAAGGAGAGGACGACGUCAAGUCAGCAUGUCCCUUACAUCUGGGGCUACACACAUCCUACAAUGGAGCCGACAGCGGGUAGCGACGGGGUGACCCCGAGCCAAUCCUCUAAACGGUCCCUCAGUUCAGAUUGCAGGCUGCAAUUCGCCUGCAUGAAGUCGGAAUCGGUAGUAAUCGCAAAUCAGCAGGUUGCGGUGAAUACGUUCUCGCUCCUUGUACACACUGCCCGUCAAGCCAGCAAAGUCAGCAACGCCCGAAGCGGGGAACCGUAACUCGUAAGAGAGCGGCCCCUCUACGGCGAGGUUGGCGAUGAGGACUAAGUCGUAACAAGGUAUCCGUACUGGAAGGUGCGGAUGGAUCACCUCCUUUCUAAGGAG